This 71-nucleotide transfer RNA is filed under the name Parcubacteria bacterium RAAC4_OD1_1. It matches the Rfam family "tRNA". From Rfam's summary of the family: Transfer RNA (tRNA) molecules are approximately 80 nucleotides in length. Their secondary structure includes four short double-helical elements and three loops (D, anti-codon, and T loops). Lineage: Bacteria; Candidatus Parcubacteria. The record is from Rfam by way of RNAcentral.
GCCACCAUAGUUCAAUGGUAGAACGAUGGUAUCGUAAACCGUAAAUAUUGGUUCAAAUCCAAUUGGUGGCU